Long non-coding RNA from Salarias fasciatus (jewelled blenny), 958 nucleotides. RefSeq lists it as uncharacterized. Lineage: Eukaryota; Metazoa; Chordata; Actinopteri; Blenniiformes; Blenniidae. The record is from RefSeq and is a predicted model, not a curated record. The transcript is spliced from 4 exons.
CCCCAGAACCCGCUCCAGACCGGAGCCGGAGACGUUCUGCUCCAGAACCCGCUCCAGACCGGACCCGGGGGCGUUCUGCUCCAGAACCCGCUCCAGACCGGAUCCUGCUCUCUCUGCGCCGCCCCUGCAGCUUGUCCUUCUCAGAUGUUCCAGAAAUAAGUUCUUUGACUGUUCUCCUUCACUGCUUGUUUGGACUUUCGGGGGUUCUCCCAGGGUUCUCCAGCAGAGAACAUGCUGACCUCUCCAUGUUCCUCCUGUUCCACCAGCACUGAGAGGAGGCGUGGUACCUCCUCAGGACUGUUGUGCACGUUCUAAAACGUUCUGCUGAACUCUGAACUCGUCCUGUUCAGUCCCUGAUUGAAUGGACGGGAGGUUCUUCCAUAAGUUCUUCUGUUCCCUGCAGAACAUCCACGAACAUCACGAAUAAACCAACUAAAACAGAUGUUUGCUUCUGGAGUUUGUUCUCAACUUCUGUCAUGUUCUGUCAGGUUCUGCUGUGUUCUGCCUCUUGGUUCUGUAAGGUUCUGCCUGUUGGUUCUGUUGUGUUCUGCCUCUUGGUUCUGUUGUGUUCUGCCUCUUGGUUCUGUAAGGUUCUGCCUCUUGGUUCUGUAAGGUUCUGCCUCUUGGUUCUGUUGUGUUCUGCCUCUUGGUUCUGUUGUGUUCUGCCUCUUGGUUCUGUAAGGUUCUGCCUCUUGGUUCCACUGUGUUCUGACAGGUUCUGUUGUUCUGCUUUGUUCUGCCGGAGAACUCCAUGUAUUUGAAGAUCCUGAAAUGUUCUUCCACAUUAAAACACAAAUCAGAAACGGGGUGAAGCUUCAGAACUGCAGAGAGUCCAUGACCCUUGACCCCUGCUGGACUCCCAGGCUGUCAGGGUCAUUUAAAUGAUCCACUGGGAUCAAGAAGGUCGUUUUCUUCCUGCCACUAAAGCAGAGGAGAGACUACAGUCCUCCAGGGUGUC